GACGAACGCUGGCGGCGUGCUUAACACAUGCAAGUCGAACGAUGAAGCGGGUGCUUGCACUCGUGGAUUAGUGGCGAACGGGCGAGUAACACGUGAGUAACCUGUCCUUUUCUUUGGGAUAACGGCUGGAAACGGCUGCUAAUACUGGAUAUUCAGGCUGCAUCGCAUGGUGUGGUUUGGAAAGGUUUUUUCUGGGAUUGGGUGGGCUCGCGGCCUAUCAGCUUGUUGGUGGGGUGAUGGCUUACCAAGGCUUUGACGGGUAGCCGGCCUGAGAGGGUGGUCGGUCGCACUGGGACUGAGAUACGGCCCAGACUACUACGGGAGGCAGCAGUGGGGAAUAUUGCACAAUGGACGAAAGUGUGAUGCAGCGACGCCGCGUGGAGGGUGUAGGCCUUCGGGUUGUGAACUCCUUUAUCUCGCGAAAAAGGCACAGUUUUGGCUGUGUUGAUGGUAGUGGGGGAAGAAGCGCCGGCUAACUACGUG
This 483-nucleotide ribosomal RNA is filed under the name uncultured bacterium. RNAcentral describes it as "partial 16S ribosomal RNA". It matches the Rfam family "Bacterial small subunit ribosomal RNA", at positions 28 to 507 of the family's 1533-position model. The record is from RNAcentral.